Molecule: small nucleolar RNA, 64 nt
Organism: Trypanosoma congolense IL3000
Lineage: Eukaryota; Euglenozoa; Kinetoplastea; Trypanosomatida; Trypanosomatidae
Rfam family: Trypanosomatid snoRNA TB11Cs4H2
Source: Rfam
ACGGCGCGCAUUGAGACCCGCCGCUCCAUAGAGGUGGGCGCGUGGGAGCAUCCGCGCUCCAAGA